This 251-nucleotide ribosomal RNA is filed under the name uncultured prokaryote. RNAcentral describes it as "partial 16S rRNA". It matches the Rfam family "Bacterial small subunit ribosomal RNA", at positions 525 to 775 of the family's 1533-position model. The record is from RNAcentral.
ACGGAGGGUGCAAGCGUUAAUCGGAAUUACUGGGCGUAAAGCGCACGCAGGCGGUUUGUUAAGUCAGAUGUGAAAUCCCCGGGCUCAACCUGGGAACUGCAUCUGAUACUGGCAAGCUUGAGUCUCGUAGAGGGGGGUAGAAUUCCAGGUGGAGCGGGGAAAUGGGUAGAGAUCUGGAGGAAUGCCGGGGGCGAGGGGGGAGCACUGAGCGUAGACUGACGCUCAGGUGCGUAAGCGUGGGGAGCACACAG